CUUUAGCGCAGUAAGCAGAGCAUCAGUCUUGUAAGCUGAAGGUCCUGAGUUUGAUCCUCAAAAG
RNAcentral lists this transfer RNA (64 nucleotides) under Monodelphis domestica (gray short-tailed opossum). It matches the Rfam family "tRNA", at positions 5 to 66 of the family's 71-position model. From Rfam's summary of the family: Transfer RNA (tRNA) molecules are approximately 80 nucleotides in length. Their secondary structure includes four short double-helical elements and three loops (D, anti-codon, and T loops). Further hydrogen bonds mediate the characteristic L-shaped molecular structure. tRNAs have two regions of fundamental functional importance: the anti-codon, which is responsible for specific mRNA codon recognition, and the 3' end, to which the tRNAs corresponding amino acid is attached (by aminoacyl-tRNA synthetases). tRNAs cope with the degeneracy of the genetic code in two manners: having more than one tRNA (with a specific anti-codon) for a particular amino acid; and 'wobble' base-pairing, i.e. permitting non-standard base-pairing at the 3rd anti-codon position. The record is from Rfam by way of RNAcentral. Lineage: Eukaryota; Metazoa; Chordata; Mammalia; Didelphimorphia; Didelphidae.